Molecule: long non-coding RNA, 503 nt
Filed under: Equus caballus (horse)
Lineage: Eukaryota; Metazoa; Chordata; Mammalia; Perissodactyla; Equidae
Description: lncRNA (ENSECAG00000056620.1)
Source: RNAcentral
GUAAAAUCCUGUCUUCCUCAGUUAUAAAGGGACAUCAGAAAAGAUCACUGAUGUUGACACAGGAUUCCUGCUGGGAUGAUACUCUAAGGCUGAGCCAUGACUGAAGAAGCCUGAGUAUUGGCUGCCUCAGUGGUAGCUGAAGCCUCGUUGAUCUGGGGGAUCAAGUUUAAAGACUACAGAGUUAUUUUAGACUUGUUGGUGGUAAUCACAUUGGCAGAUGGAAUUGCAUGGACAGCAGGAGAAGCCGAACAUCUGGAACAGAGGGUAUGACAUUGUCAAACUAUCUUUUGGGAAGGUUGUACCAAAUUAGAUGCCUCCAAUCAACAUAAGAGUGUGCCUAUCUUUCAACCCUUCGCCAAUUGUGUUAUCCUUCUUUUUAAUCUUUGUAUAUCAGGUAAAUGAAAAUGAUAUAUUAUCUUCUAAGUUUUUAACUAUGUCAUUCCAAUAGUAAAUAUUAUUUUAUAAUUAUAUUAGCAAUUUGUAAUUAUUUUGGUAAAGUUUCU